AAAAUGAGAAGAAACUUUUUGGGAUAAUUCCAUCUUUGAUAGAGAUUGGAUAUAAAAAUAACAAGUUAUUAAAUAUUGACCAUUCAAAUGUAUUUAUUAUUGAGAGAGGAAAGCUAGCAUGUAUCGUUCUUAUAGGAUAGGUAUUUUAUGAUGUAUGUACAGUAUGUAGAUUGUGUGGUUAUUUAUUUGUUUCAUACUAUUAUGCAGAAUUUAGUCAGCACAUAAAUUUGCCUGCAAGGCACUGAUUAUGACUCGGUGUGUAACAGUACAUAUAAGUGGAAUCACUCUCUUAAUAUUAAUUUAUGCAUUUAAAUUAAAGUAUUUCAUCGUGAUUUAAAUCUUAAGUUUUUGCCAAAUUAAAAAGAAUUAUUAUUUUUUAAUAUGUUAUAAAUAUAAUGAAUUCCACAUAUAUGAACUGCAAACUAUGAGGCAAUUGUCUUUAUUAAGUAGUAUUAUUGUAGAUAAUUGAUUAAUUAUCAGUGAUUAUUAAUGAAGUUUUUGCACAUGAAUUUAGCCAUUCAUGGAGGCACACGGACAGGAUCCCAUUCGGACCUCACUCAGUCGGUGAUGAGGGACCACGGCGAGAAUAUAUAUAUACUUAUAACAAUCCUGCUGAGUGGGGAAUGAGGCAAAACAAAUAAUUCGGAUUUUUUCCUUUUUUAUUAGUUUAUUUCUUUUCCUCAAAUCCGGGGAAUCUGUCCAUCGUCCCCAUUUUCCAUCCUUUAUACCUCAUCCCCUAAAUUAAUAUAAAAUUUUAUAUUCCAAAAAUUGAUAGAAUGUUUCAAUACCAGAGAAGGCUUAAAGCAUACAAAAAUCAAAAAGUCCACUCCCAUUUCUUCUCUUUGAAAAUCAAAAAAACAAAAGUAAAUAUCAAAAUCUUUUUACUUUCCGGUCACGGAAAGACAUCAAGAACUCCCAUUCGUUGUUUUAAUUUUUUAUGAUUUUGUUUCGAAGUUUGUACUAAGUAUACGUAAUCGUUUCUGCCGUUAUUUAAAAGAGAGGCGAUCUCUCUUAAGAGUACAAAGUACCUCACUGACAACUAUCGUCUCUUUCCUAUUUUCCUUUUCUAAAUCCUUAAAAAUAUGGGGGAAGACUAAAGGGUCCGAUGUAUUCCGCCCAGCUAUCAAAUCCAUUCAGUCGGGACGAUUGCCAAAAAUUUCUCUAGCGUCCGUAAGUAGUAAGGGAUCACUCAUAACUGUAAGUCAAUGGACAGCAGGGUGCCAGCCACCUCCCUCGCCCCCAAGUCACAUAGAAAUCCUGCCAUUUAUUGGACGGAACCAUUUUUCUCAGCCAUUUCCCUCCGUCCGCUGAAAAAGGUUAUCGAUCGUUCCUACCCCCAUUCAAUUUAUACCCCUGCAGUACCUAAUGACCGCUGGCUUCAACCCCGCAUCCUUAGCAGGACUAUAAAUAUUCCGAUGCCCUCGGUCAACUCGCCCGCCCUUUCAUAAUUCCCCCGUUUUUGUUCAUUUUAAUAAUUAUUUGCAUUUUUUUACAUAGUUACGAAUGAAGGGAUAGAUGCGUAUGCCCUUUAGUAUUAAGCUACCUCAAUCGCCAAAUAAAUGGAAUCGGACCCUUGUCAAUCUUCCGGUUUGAAUUCCUUUCUUUUUUGUUUACAUAUGAUGUAAAAAUAUCUUGUUUUUUUUUUUUUUUUUAAUUCUUUUCAGUUGUGUUUGUUUAUUAUCUUUUUUACACCAAUGUAGAUUUUAAAUAUUUUAUAGCAAUGUGUUUUAUCUAUAUAUCUAGACUUUUUUAUAGCCUAUUUACUUGUUCAGAUUUGUUCAUCCUAUCCCAGCAUGCGU
RNAcentral lists this long non-coding RNA (1799 nucleotides) under Androctonus crassicauda. The record is from RNAcentral. Lineage: Eukaryota; Metazoa; Arthropoda; Arachnida; Scorpiones; Buthidae.